This 72-nucleotide transfer RNA is filed under the name Nonomuraea deserti. RNAcentral describes it as "Nonomuraea sp. KC310 tRNA-Cys". Lineage: Bacteria; Bacillati; Actinomycetota; Actinomycetes; Streptosporangiales; Streptosporangiaceae. The record is from RNAcentral.
GGCGCAGUUCGCGGGUGCGGAGGUAGGCCUGCAAAGCCGUCCGUGCGAGUUCGACUCUCGCCUGCGUCUCCA